This 253-nucleotide ribosomal RNA is filed under the name uncultured bacterium. RNAcentral's name for it is "partial 16S ribosomal RNA". It matches the Rfam family "Bacterial small subunit ribosomal RNA", at positions 524 to 776 of the family's 1533-position model. The record is from RNAcentral.
GACGGAGGGUGCUAGCGUUGUUCGGAAUGACUGGGCGUAAAGCGCACGUAGGCGGCUCGUUAAGUCGGGGGUGAAGUCCUGGAGCUCAACUCCAGAACUGCCUUCGAUACUGGCGAUCUCGAGUCCGGAAGAGGUGAGUGGAACUCCUAGUGUAGAGGUGGAAUUCGUAGAUAUUAGGAAGAACACCAGUGGCGAAGGCGGCUCACUGGUCCGGUACUGACGCUGAGGUGCGAAAGCGUGGGGAGCAAACAGG